This is a long non-coding RNA of Sapajus apella (tufted capuchin), 1909 nucleotides long. RefSeq lists it as uncharacterized. The record is from RefSeq and is a predicted model, not a curated record. NCBI's taxonomy places the organism in Eukaryota, Metazoa, Chordata, Mammalia, Primates, Cebidae. The transcript is spliced from 2 exons.
ACCGCUCAUGUCAUCUUCCUCUUUCCCUUCAGCCACCUGCCCCCUCAGACAACAGCGCCUGCCCUCUUUGCAGUGGCAAAUGAUCCAGCCUGCCAGCGACUCUGCAGGGGCCUUUGCAGUCUGCGCAGGCGAGUUGCGUCUUCCUGAGUUUUUUUGUCCUGAACUUUUCUACCUGUUAUUGACAAGCCUCAUACAGCUAGAUUAGAGUGGGCAAAUGCAGCAGCCGAGGACACGAUCCCUACCCUGUGCCUGAAAGUCUCCACAAGCUUUUCUUCCCCUUUCUUACAGGAACUGGUCAUACGCUGAUGGGUUAUCUGAGGCCUGAGAUGGGUGGGAGGAAACUUUCACCCAAAUCUCUGCCUGAGCGAAAUGGCCUGGAACUCACUCUAAAUCAUCUACUGAAAUCCUGGCACAGAAAGAAUGUAUGGAAAAGGGCAGAAUUCGAAUGCCAGGGCCAUUAGCCUGGGCAAGUAGGAGAGCUUCGAAGGGGGUCCCUGCACCGUUGUGGAUUCCAGGCGAGUCUGGCAGACCACCCAGAAACUUGCAUAAGGCACACGGCAGCAGCAGCAGCGGCAUCCCAGCUCGACACGUCGGCUGCAUGACCAGGCAAUUUUCUUGGUCCUCAGCCGGAGCCUGGAGCCUCCCAUUUGUCUCCUGGGAGGACCUCACAUACCCUAGUGAUAGUGACUGCACAAUGAACACUUGCUGAGUUAAAUGACUGAAAGGAUCUAUGCUAGAUCAGAUGUCUAGGGGAUGGCUGAGACAAGAGAGGCCACAAAGGUGAGUCAUUCACUCAUUUUUCAACAGAUGUGAGUCCUGUUCUUUGGGGUCUUACAUUUUGGGAAGAUGAGAAUUGACUGGUGUUUUUCAAGUUUAGGGAAGAGUAGAUGUUCACAGAGAAAAGAUUCUUCAACCUCAGGGAGUGAUCAGCAGAAUAUUCAGAGGUAACCAGUAAGACAAGUCUAAUUCCGAGCAUGAAUAAGCUUCUCCUUAAAGAGGAAAUUGAACUGAAGAUCACGAAGAAUAACUAGAUGACUCACCGAUCAAAAUAGGAAGUUCUCUCUGGUAAGGAAGACGGUGGCAUUGAGGUGGCAAAAAACACAAAGAUCCUCCUCAAACACUUACUACAUAGUAGACUUCACUCUUGCUGCUUGGGCUACUGUCUCCAGAUUGGAAGACCUACCCACUGACCAGGAGUUGAUAGAGUUAGUGAAGCAUUGUAUUAAAAAAGACCCUGGGCCCUGGAGCCACCACCUUGCCCUAAACAAAGGCUCCCUCAAGUAUCAGCCCUAUGAACUUGGGCAUUUGUAAAGUAGAGAUAGUAACAGUUCCUUAUGCACUUCGAUAUUAUGAAGACUGAGAGAUCAUAGCUGUAAGUGCAUAGAACAGUGCCUGGCUUGUAAUAAGCACUCACUGUAGGUUAGCUAUUUUUAUUGUGCUUCUAUUGCUGACUCUAAUUGUUUGCAUAUUUGAACUGAAGAAUCCUCAGUGAGUUUUAGAAAGAAGACAAGAUGCUUAUAUUUCACUUGAGUAUGAAAUAAGAGUAUAAAUCAUACAUCUUACAUCGCAUAACAACUUUAUUCACAAGAUGACAGUUCUUUCAUCAGUCCAAGGACUGGCUUCUCUAAACUGCCACAUAAUUGUCUUCUGCAGUGUAACUCCACAUGGACCAUUAUGUUUUAUGUUUAUGGACUUUCACCCAAGACUUUAAUAGCAGCAAUAGAAUGAAUCUGCUAAAAUCACACGUUUCAUUUUCUUUUACUUUCGGACUGUUGGAACUAUCAGAACCCAUGAUCGACUCUAACAUGGAAAGUAGCUAUUUCUUUAUUAAGGCCAAUGCUUAUUUAAUCCAUUUUUUCUAUUUAAAACAUCAGUAUAUGUCUUUUUAAAAUGUAUACAUGAAAGAAAA